UGUGUGUGUAUAUUAUAUAUACACAUAGAUGUGUGUGUAUAUUAUAUAUACACAUAGAUGUGUGUGUAUAUAUAUUGCACAGGGAUUAAAGAUAGUUAUUUAGCAUUAUCUCUCGACAGAAAAUGUGCUUACUCAGUAGUACAUGGCAGCAUUGAUUGGAUAGUGGAAAUUGAAAAUCAUCUAUACGUCCAUUACCAGAGGACUGGUUAUAUUAACUAUGGUAUAUUCCUGUAAUAUUUAAAAAAUCCAUGAUCUUUGGUGAAAAAAGCACAGAAUAGACCAAUUACAGCAUGAUUCCUCUUGUUAAAAGAAAAAAGGUAGCAUAGUGAUUAAGAGCGUGUCUCCUGGAGCCAGAAUGCUUGCAUUUGAAUCCCAGCUCCGCCACAUAUUUUCUUUGUGAUUAACCUUUCUUUGCCUCAGCUUCCUUAUUUAUAAAAUGGAGAUAAUGGAACCUAUUUAGUAGAGUUUUUAGGAAGAUGAAAAUAAUUUCAUAAAAUACUUAGAAUUGUAGUGGGACAGAUUAAAUUCUGUAUAUGUGUUUAGAAAACAUAUUCAUUCAUUUGUUCCACAACUAUUCAUUGAGUGCUCACACACUAGACAUUGAUUUACGGUCAUGGAAUAAGUACAUCAGACAACAAGUCAAGUCAAGUCUUUGCCUCAUGGAGCUAACAUUCUAAGAGGAGAAACAUGCAGUAAACAAGUAAAGAAAUGUAUGCUCUAUUCAGGGAGUAGUUUGUGCUAUGAGGAAAAGCAAAACAGGUUGAAGAGAUAGCUAUGUGGUGGGAGUGGGACUAUUUCGUACAGGGCACUGAUUGUAGACCUCUGAUGAGAUAACAUUUGACAAGAGAUCUGCAGGGAGCUAUGUGUCAUGGGGGAAGGCAUUGGAGGGUUUUGUGCAGGACAGUGAUGUGUGAUCAGAUUUAGUUUAAAAGAAUAAUUUGGGCUGGGCAUGGUGGUUCCUGCCUGUAAUCCCAGCACUUUGGGAGGGUGAGGUGGGCGAAUCACUUGAAUCUGGGAGUUUGAUACCAGUUCGGGCAACAUGGCGAAAUCCCGUCUCUACAAAAAAUACAAAAAUUAGCCAGUGUGGUGGCACGCGCCUGCAGUCCCAGCUACUUGGGAGGCUGAGGUGGGAGAAUUGCUUGGAUCUGGGAGGUGGAGGUUGCAGUGAACUCAGAUUGCGCCACUGCACUCCAGCCUGAGAUUGUGCCACUGCACUCCAGCCACUGCACUCCAGGAAGACCCUCUCAGAAAAAAAAAAAAAAGAAUUUGGCCGUUAUGUGGAGGACUGGAAUUGAGAAGGGCAAGAGCGAGGUAGAAGAGUGGUCUAGGGAGAACAGUUAGGGGCUAUUGCAAUUAUCCAGCAAGAGAUCUUGGACCAGGAUGGCAGCAGUGGAGGUGGUAAAAUGUGGUUGGAUGAAGCGUACGCUUUGAAGGUAUCAACAGGACCAGCUGAUGGAAGGGAGUCAACAGGACUAGCUGAUGGCUGUAAACUGGGGGGUCACUAGCUAUCAGAUGGCAUUUACUUAAAGCCAUGGAAGUAGGUGAGCUCCCUUAUGGAGAGGGAAUAGGAAGGAGGUAGACCAUUCUAUCAAAAUGCUCUUUCUACAGGGCACUUCUCACUGAGAUAUUAUUUAUCUGGGAUUUAUAUUAUUUAUUCAAUUUGUUUUGUGUUUGGUUCUAUUAGAAAAGCUCCAUAGGGGCCGGGCACGUUGGCUUUUGCCUGUAAUCCCAACACUUUGGAAGGCCGAGGCAGGCGGAUUACCUGGGGUCAGGAGUUUGAGACCAGCCUGGCCAACAUGGUGAAACUCUGUCUCUACUAAAAACACAAAAAUUAGCCGGGCGUGGUGGUGCGCCUGUAAUCCCAGAUGCUGAGGAGGAGAAUCGCUUGAACCCGGGAGGUGGAGGUUGCAGUGAGCCGAGAUCGCGCCACUGCACUCCAGCCUGGGCAACAAGAGCGAAACUCCCUCUCAAAAACAAACAAACAAACAAACAAACAAACAAAAAACAAAAAAAAGAAAGAAAGAAAGAAAAGGGCCAGGUGUGGUGGCUCACACCUGUAAUCCCAGCACUUUGGGAGGCUGAGGCAGGCGGAUCACGAGGUCAGGAGAUCGAGACCAUCCUCACCAACACGGUGAAACCCCGUCUCUACUAAAAAUACAAAAAUUAGUCGGGUGUGGUGGCGGGCGCCUGUAGUCCCAGGUACUCCGCAGGCUGAGGCAGGAGAAUCGCUUGAACCCGGGAGGCGGAGGUUGUAGUGAGCCGAGAUUGAGCCACUGCACUCCAGCCUGGGUGACAAAGUGAGACUCCAUCUCAAAAGAAAAAAGCUCCAUAGGAGAAGGAACCUUGUCUCUUCACCACAUAAACUGUGUUUGGAUUCGCAAUCGAGUUGGGAAAAAAAAAUCAGUCUGGAAGAGCCACACCAAACCGCUAACAGCUACUGUCUCUGGGAAUAGAACAAGGAGUUUGGUUGGCGCGAUAUACCGCCCCUGAACCUCUAGCCACAAUAAGGCUUAAUUAAUGACCGGACGACUUGAAAGCGCCUUCCACUGUUUAUCUCUUAAAUCUGCAACGAAAUGCAACAAAAACGCAAGAAAUAAACAAUAGAAGCCAGUCUUACUGCACACUGCAGAAGCCAAUAAACCCCAAAUGUAGCUCAAAACAAGGUGUCACGCAAACUUCUGAUUUUUUUUUGUUUUACACUGAAUCUCUGUCACUCUGACUAGAGGGCAGUGGCGCGAUCUCGGAUCACUACAACCUCCGUCUUCUAGAGUCAAGAGACUCUCCCGCCCCAGGAGUCUCUGCCACUCUGACUAGAGGGCAGUGGCGCGAUCUCGGAUCACUACAACCUCCGUCUUCUAGAGUCAAGAGACUCUCCCGCCCCAGCUUCUCCAAUAGGUGGGAUUGCAAACAGGCACCACCACGCCCGAAUAAGUUUGUGAACAUUUGGUACAAAUAACAAAUGACCAAGUUCCUUGGUUGUAGUUGCCUAACUUUUAAUACUUAAAAAUGUAGCCUCAGGAAAUAAGAGGCCUCAAAAAAUUGAAUAAAAACUCACAACUUUCUCUCCACGGAAAUCUUUAGUAAAAGGCGAAAGAUUUAUGCGCUUUGAAGAGAAACCCGAGUAUAUUCGUGACUUCCGCUUCGAACCUCGCAGGGAGAACUAACACUUAACACACUUAUGGUUGUUGGAUGCCUGCGUGGUACGCACUCCCUAUAUGUAGUUUAUGCACACAGAUGCGUGUAAGAGGCAUCAUGCUCUAAAACAGUGCAGAAAUGCGCGCACAGAGGGAGUGCAAGCAUCUUGAGGGUAUCUUUUCGUGGUGCACCAUGGGUAUGCAAAUCACAGGCGGCUCCGGGCUGUUCCGCGCCACCGGGGAAGCCAUGGGUCACUGAUCUCCUUUGCUCUCCUAUGCUCCUCUCUGCUGGUCCUCCUGGGACCCGCACCCCGUGGGCGGCGCCGGGUGCGGAGUCCUUUGCGGAGCUGGUGUUCGUCCCAGGGGUUAAGGUCCUGUCCCGCCGUCCUUACCCGCAGUAAGCCUCCGGGCUUAGAGAGAGGGACGGGGAAACAGACGGGCACAGACACUCAGGGGCACUGGGACCUCACAGGAGGCACGACCCCACCCCUCCUGGAGGAGAUGGCAUCCGAUCCAAUUCACCUCGAAGGGUGAUAUGGGGUCACAUCAAGGGGAGGCCUGUACUGCAGUGUUUAUUUCACCAAGAUUAGGCCGAAGGCUGCCGCAUGGAAGGGAAGAAGAGGACAGAGAUAAGCUCUCCAUAGUAAGUGGGUUUGCUGAGAGGAAGGAGGCAUGGGAGGAGGAAGGAACCCAGAGAGAUCUGAUAAGAAAGCAAGAGAAAGAAACACGGAUAAUUUAAAAUGGAGCAUCAAAGAGAAUAAAGACUCCUCAGGGGAGAAAAUGGGGCAGAGAAAAAGAUAAACCUUAGUUGACAAAGAUAGAUAUGGACAGGUGAACUGGGAUGCAUUGUGGUGCAGAAAGGAAGAGUCGAUAAUGCUUAGUCUGUGCCUUGGGCUCAUUAGUUAUUCUCUCUGGGUCUCCAGCUCCUCAUCUGUCAAACAGAAACAGUGACUACCUUGGUAGAAUUAGAAUAAAUGCAGGCAAAGUACUUAGGAAAUUGCAUGGCACACAGUAGGUACAGAUGUGGAGUUAUUUUUCAAUAGUUGCUGGUAGAGAAAUGAAGUGACAGAAAAAUGAGAAGGAACUGAAGGAAAGACUGCAGGUGACAGGGGAGGAAAUAGGACAGAGGAGGGAGAAUAUCAAGAUUGAUACAUGAAAAAACAACUUGUCUCUUUUUUUUGAGACAGGGUCUCGCUUUGUCACCCAGGCUGGAGUGCAGUGGUGCAAUCACAGCUCACCGCAGCCUUGACCUCCCGGCUCAAGCAAUCCUCUCAAGUAGCUGGAACUACAGGUGUGUGCCACCAUGCCCAGUUAAUGUUUGUAUUUUUUGUAGAGACAGGGUCUCCCUAUGUUGCCCAGGCUGGUCUCGAACUCCUGGGCUCAAGUGAUCCUCCCACCUCAGCCUCUGAAAGUGCUGGGAUUACAGGCAUGAGUCACUGUGCUCGGCCAAACUUUUAUGUCUUUACCAACGGGAAAAUAUAACUGGUUAACCAAUAUGGAAAAAGACUCUACCUUAUAAAUAAUAAUGUAAAUGCAAAUACAAACAUCAAUAAGUUACUAUCUAACAAUUUAGCAAAAAUUUUAAAAUUGAUGGCACUCGUUGCUGGUUUACAAGAGUACACUCUAACCCACCAUGAGAGUGUAAUAUGGUACACUCUUCGGGGGAAAGCAACAUUGCAAUAUAUAUGCUCCAUAAUCUUUGGUCCAGAAGUUUCACGUGUAAAGGCCUAUAUACUAUUGUAGGGACUUAAGCUUUCUCUAGGUGAAAUGGGAGUCAUGGUAGAUUUUGGGCAGAGGGGAUCUGACGUUUUCAUCACCUAACAAUGUAUUUUUGUGAAUACACUAUUGUGAGUUGUGAAUGAUGAGGUGCCCACGAGAAGAAGUCAGGAAACGUGUCCUGGACCAGGUGUGCGCAGGGAACUGUCAAAGACUCCGUGUUUCGGUACUGCUAAGAGUGAGCCAGGGAGGAGCCAGCGGCAAUGCUGGAGAAGCAAUCAAGUCCAAUUAUGGAGGGCCUAGAGUGUGUGCUAUGGAGUUUAUAUUUGAUUUUACAGAAUCUGGUGGAAAUCGGUGGAAGGGCACUAAGAAGGGGACUGACUUGGCCAGAUGGAGAUUGGCCACAGGGUGGUGCUGUGGAGGCAGAUUUGAAGGUGAGGCUGUCAGCACCUUCCUCCUUUCUAACAGACCCUGAUUUCCGUGGCCGUCAUCGGAAAGGCCCAGUGAUUAGGGACAGCUGGGCUCCUCCCCAGCAUCAGGAGGUGAAACUUGAUUAGUUUAAGAAGCCAAUCAGUAAUUCCAUUGCCUUUGCCAAGUGAAGGAUUUCGGCAUAGGAUGCUACAUAGUUCUUGCCAAAGAGAGCAAAUGAGAAGUUGGCUGGGAGGCUACUAAUACAUUUUUCCUCACUUUUUAAAAGAGAUGCAAGAUCAGGCAUGGUGGCUCAUGCCUGUAACCCCAGCACUUCAGGAGGCCAAGGCAGGAGGAUCGCUUGAGACCAGGAGUUCAAGACCAGCCUGGGGGCCGGCCAGGCGCGAUGGCUCAUACCUGCAAUCCCAGCACUUUGGGAGGCCGAGGUGGGCGGAUCACGAAGUCAAGAGGUUGAGACUAGCUUGGCCAACGUGGUGAAACCCUGUCUUUACUAAAAAUACAAAAAUUAGCCAGGCGUGGUGCGCACCUGUAAUCCCAGCUACUGAGGAGGCUGAGGCAGAAGAAUCGCUUGAACCCAGGAGGCGGAGGUUGCAGUGAGCUGAGGUCAAUCCACUGCACUCCAGCCUGGGCUAGAGAGCAAGACUCUGUCUCGGGGGAUGGAAAAGAAAAAGAAAAAAGGAAAAAAGAUCAGCCUGGGCAACAUAGUGGGACUGCGUCUCUACAAACAAACAAACAAACAAACAAAAAAAUUAGCUGUGCAUGGUGGCAUGUGCCUGUAGUCCCAGAUACUACAGAGAAAGAGGCAGGAGUACUGUGUGAGCCUAGGAGUUCCAGGCUGCAGUGAGCUGUGAUUGUGUCACUGCACUCCAGCCUGGGUGAAAGAGUGAGACCCUGUCUCUAUAAAACAAAACAAAAACAAAAAGAAAUGCAAGACAAGAAUGAUUUCUUUUUCCUGACACUGCAGCAGCCACUUUGAGAUAAGUCUGAGGACAAAAGUCCAGAAUGUUGAAGAUGGCAGAGGAGAAAGAUAGAAAGAAACUGGGUCCUUGCUAAUGUCCUUGGGCUGCCGAAUUAACUGAAUUAACCAGGCUUCCUGUUACAGAGAAUAAUAAAUCAAUCUUCUUUCUUCCUUCUUCCCUUCUUCCUUUCCUUUUCUUCUCUUUUCAUGUGGCUAAAAGCAUUCUAUUAUUUAAUUUAAUUUAUUUAUUUAUAUAUUUUUUUGAGACAGAGUCUUGCUGUUACCCAGGCUGGAGUGCAAUGGCACGAUCUCAG
RNAcentral lists this long non-coding RNA (6551 nucleotides) under Homo sapiens (human). RNAcentral describes it as "HSALNT0291914". The record is from RNAcentral. Lineage: Eukaryota; Metazoa; Chordata; Mammalia; Primates; Hominidae.